RNAcentral lists this transfer RNA (91 nucleotides) under Cephalotrichum gorgonifer. RNAcentral's name for it is "transfer RNA-Val(CAC)". It matches the Rfam family "tRNA". Rfam says of the family: Transfer RNA (tRNA) molecules are approximately 80 nucleotides in length. Their secondary structure includes four short double-helical elements and three loops (D, anti-codon, and T loops). Lineage: Eukaryota; Fungi; Ascomycota; Sordariomycetes; Microascales; Microascaceae. The record is from RNAcentral.
GGUUCGGUGGUGUAGUUGGUUAUCACGCUUGCCUCACAUCCAAAAGAUGUUAGGUCGCAAGAGGUCUCCAGUUCGAACCCGGGCCGAAUCA